Molecule: ribosomal RNA, 310 nt
Filed under: uncultured eukaryote
Lineage: Eukaryota
Description: partial 18S ribosomal RNA
Rfam family: Eukaryotic small subunit ribosomal RNA
Source: RNAcentral
CCCUUAGAUGUUCUGGGCCGCACGCGCGCUACACUGAUACGUUCAACAAGUUCCUUGGCCGAAAGGUCUGGGUAAUCUUUGAAACCGUAUCGUGAUGGGGAUAGAACAUUGCAAUUAUUGUUCUUCAACGAGGAAUUCCUAGUAAACGCAAGUCAUCAACUUGCAUUGAUUACGUCCCUGCCCUUUGUACACACCGCCCGUCGCACCUACCGAUUGAAUGGUCCGGUGAAGCCUCCGGAUUGGCGCGCACCUCGGUGCCGCCGAGAAGUUGGCUAAACCUUACCAUUUAGAGGAAGGUGAAGUCGUAACA